Long non-coding RNA from Ctenopharyngodon idella (grass carp), 468 nucleotides. RefSeq lists it as uncharacterized. The transcript is spliced from 3 exons. The record is from RefSeq and is a predicted model, not a curated record. Lineage: Eukaryota; Metazoa; Chordata; Actinopteri; Cypriniformes; Xenocyprididae.
AAAAAAAUAAAAUGUAUAGAAGUAGAUUUUGUGUUGUAGACGGUGUUAAUUUUGUUCUUUAAUGUUCGUCAUCUUUGAUUUUACUGUAGGCCUAACGUUACAUGUGCAGUAAACAUGGCCAAGUAAGGAUGUGUUUGGAAUGCAGUGUAAGCUUUGCAAAUUUGCCCACAGUAUACUAGCAGAGAGGUCCUCUUGAAACAUUACAGGUUUCACCACUAUCAAGGGUGAUCCUGGAAGCAGCCUUGCUUGUUACUGACUGCAUCUGCACUUUCAAAACCGUAGACCUCAGAUAUCCUUGCUCAAAGAAAGGCAACAGCUCUCAAAGGGCUCCCUGUGUUUAUGAGGGAAAAGUCAGAAAACGUCCUGAAGACCUGCCUGGUAAGAAAAUGUGUUAUCAGCAUACACUAUCCAAAAGAACUGUUCUAUCAGACAAGAGGCAGGGAAAAGAGUAGAAAGCAGGAGACAAAG